Long non-coding RNA from Panthera uncia (snow leopard), 406 nucleotides. RefSeq lists it as uncharacterized. The transcript has 2 exons. The record is from RefSeq and is a predicted model, not a curated record. NCBI's taxonomy places the organism in Eukaryota, Metazoa, Chordata, Mammalia, Carnivora, Felidae.
UUUUGUUAUUAUCUUGGUCCUUUAGAAAGGUAUUGUUCAGUAUGGUAGCCACUAAUCACAUGUGGCAAUUUGAAAUUCUAUUUUAGGAUACCGGACCAACAUGGCAGAGAUAUAGGGGGAUCCAUACUUCCCAUGUCUCUCAAACAAAGAAGUGCUGAAGCCAAACGACUUUGAACCCCAAGAGACUGGGAGGAAGAGACUGAAUCUACCAGGAAGAAAAUGAGACAACUUGAGAGACCAUAGUUUGUCUACUGGGAAAUGUGGAAGUGGGGAUACUCCAUGAUGGGGAUGAGGACAACUUGCAGCCAGGUUGUGGACCUACUUUGAGAGGCAGAGUUUCCACCCUGAAGAGUCUCACCAUUGGGCAUUGUGUUCUGUGGCUUGCCUUUCAGUGCUUGCUGUUUAG